UACAGAGGGUGCAAGCGUUAAUCGGAAUUAUUGGGCGUAAAGGGUGCGUAGGCGGCAUCGAAAGUUGGUUGUGAAAGUCCUGGGCUCAACCUAGGGAGGACAAUCAAAACUACGGAGCUAGAGUAGAGUAGAGGAAAGUGGAAUUUCAGGUGGAGCGGUGAAAUGCAUAGAUAUCUGAAGGAACACCAGUGGCGAAGGCGGCUUUCUGGACUCAUACUGACGCUGAGGCACGAAAGCGUGGGUAGCGAACAGG
Molecule: ribosomal RNA, 253 nt
Filed under: uncultured bacterium
Lineage: Bacteria
Description: partial 16S ribosomal RNA
Rfam family: Bacterial small subunit ribosomal RNA
Source: RNAcentral